AUGAACGCUGGCGGCGUGCCUCAUACAUGCCAGUCGAGCGAACAGACGAGGAGCUUGCUCCUCUGACGUUAGCGGCGGACGGGUGAGUAACACGUGGAUAACCUACCUAUAAGACUGGGAUAACUUCGGGAAACCGGAGCUAAUACCGGAUAAUAUAUUGAACCGCAUGGUUCAAUAGUGAAAGACGGUUUUGCUGUCACUUAUAGAUGGAUCCGCGCCGCAUUAGCUAGUUGGUAAGGUAACGGCUUACCAAGGCAACGAUGCGUAGCCGACCUGAGAGGGUGAUCGGCCACACUGGAACUGAGACACGGUCCAGACUCCUACGGGAGGCAGCAGUAGGGAAUCUUCCGCAAUGGGCGAAAGCCUGACGGAGCAACGCCGCGUGAGUGAUGAAGGUCUUCGGAUCGUAAAACUCUGUUAUUAGGGAAGAACGAAUGUGUAAGUAACUAUGCACGUCUUGACGGUACCUAAUCAGAAAGCCACGGCUAACUACGUG
This 496-nucleotide ribosomal RNA is filed under the name uncultured bacterium. RNAcentral's name for it is "partial 16S ribosomal RNA". It matches the Rfam family "Bacterial small subunit ribosomal RNA", at positions 29 to 507 of the family's 1533-position model. The record is from RNAcentral.